CGUUGAUAGGCUGGGUGUGUAAGCGUAGCGAUACGUUGAGCUAACCAGUACUAAUGAACCGUGAGGCUUAACCUGACAACACCGAAAGUGUUUUG
This 95-nucleotide ribosomal RNA is filed under the name Proteus mirabilis. RNAcentral's name for it is "partial 23S ribosomal RNA". The stretch from base 1 to 75 matches the Rfam family "Bacterial large subunit ribosomal RNA", at positions 2851 to 2925 of the family's 2925-position model. The record is from RNAcentral. Lineage: Bacteria; Pseudomonadati; Pseudomonadota; Gammaproteobacteria; Enterobacterales; Morganellaceae.